GAUGAACGCUAGCGGCAGGCCUAAUACAUGCAAGUCGGACGGGAUUCAGGAGCUUGCUUCUGCUGAGAGUGGCGCACGGGUGCGUAACACGUAUGUAACCUACCUUUAUCAGGGGGAUAGCCUCUCGAAAGAGAGAUUAAGCCCGCAUAAAAUCACAGCACAGCAUUGUGUAAUGAUCAAAUAUUUAUAUGAUAAAGAUGGGCAUGCGGAACAUUAGCUAGAUGGCGGGGUAACGGCCCACCAUGGCGACGAUGUUUAGGGGAUCUGAGAGGAUGGCCCCCCACACUGGGACUGAGACACGGACCAGACUCCUACGGGAGGCAGCAGUAAGGAAUAUUGAUCAAUGGGCGGAAGCCUGAACCAGCCAUGCCGCGUGCAGGAAGACGGCCCUACGGGUUGUAAACUGCUGUUAUACGGGAAUAAACCCAGAUACGUGUAUCUGGCUGAAUGUACUGUAAGAAUAAGGAUCGGCUAACUCCGUG
Molecule: ribosomal RNA, 482 nt
Filed under: uncultured bacterium
Lineage: Bacteria
Description: partial 16S ribosomal RNA
Rfam family: Bacterial small subunit ribosomal RNA
Source: RNAcentral